GCGGCGGACGNGUGAGUAACACGUGGGUAACCUGCCUGUAAGACUGGGAUAACUCCGGGAAACCGGGGCUAAUACCGGAUGCUUGAUUGAACCGCAUGGUUCAAUUAUAAAAGGUGGCUUUUAGCUACCACUUACAGAUGGACCCGCGGCGCAUUAGCUAGUUGGUGAGGUAACGGCUCACCAAGGCAACGAUGCGUAGCCGACCUGAGAGGGUGAUCGGCCACACUGGGACUGAGACACGGCCCAGACGCCUACGGGAGGCAGCAGUAGGGAAUCUUCCGCAAUGGACGAAAGUCUGACGGAGCAACGCCGCGUGAGUGAUGAAGGUUUUCGGAUCGUAAAACUCUGUUGUUAGGGAAGAACAAGUACCGUUCGAAUAGGGCGGUACCUUGACGGUACCUAACCAGAAAGCCACGGCUAACUACGUGCCAGCAGCCGCGGUAAUACGUAGGUGGCAAGCGUUGUCCGGAAUUAUUGGGCGUAAAGCGCGCGCAGGCGGUUUCUUAAGUCUGAUGUGAAAGCCCCCGGCUCAACCGGGGAGGGUCAUUGGAAACUGGGGAACUUGAGUGCAGAAGAGGAGAGUGGAAUUCCACGUGUAGCGGUGAAAUGCGUAGAGAUGUGGAGGAACACCAGUGGCGAAGGCGACUCUCUGGUCUGUAACUGACGCUGAGGCGCGAAAGCGUGGGGAGCGAACAGGAUUAGAUACCCUGGUAGUCCACGCCGUAAACGAUGAGUGCUAAGUGUUAGAGGGUUUCCGCCCUUUAGUGCUGCAGCAAACGCAUUAAGCACUCCGCCUGGGGAGUACGGUCGCAAGACUGAAACUCAAAGGAAUUGACGGGGGCCCGCACAAGCGGUGGAGCAUGUGGUUUAAUUCGAAGCAACGCGAAGAACCUUACCAGGUCUUGACAUCCUCUGACAACCCUAGAGAUAGGGCUUCCCCUUCGGGGGCAGAGUGACAGGUGGUGCAUGGUUGUCGUCAGCUCGUGUCGUGAGAUGUUGGGUUAAGUCCCGCAACGAGCGCAACCCUUGAUCUUAGUUGCCAGCAUUCAGUUGGGCACUCUAAGGUGACUGCCGGUGACAAACCGGAGGAAGGUGGGGAUGACGUCAAAUCAUCAUGCCCCUUAUGACCUGGGCUACACACGUGCUACAAUGGGCAGAACAAAGGGCAGCGAAGCCGCGAGGCUAAGCCAAUCCCACAAAUCUGUUCUCAGUUCGGAUCGCAGUCUGCAACUCGACUGCGUGAAGCUGGAAUCGCUAGUAAUCGCG
This 1266-nucleotide ribosomal RNA is filed under the name Bacillus licheniformis. Its description in RNAcentral is "bacterial SSU rRNA". It matches the Rfam family "Bacterial small subunit ribosomal RNA", at positions 95 to 1346 of the family's 1533-position model. Lineage: Bacteria; Bacillati; Bacillota; Bacilli; Caryophanales; Bacillaceae. The record is from RNAcentral.